This 74-nucleotide transfer RNA is filed under the name Prevotella sp. CAG:924. Its description in RNAcentral is "transfer RNA-Pseudo(GCA)". It matches the Rfam family "tRNA". Rfam says of the family: Transfer RNA (tRNA) molecules are approximately 80 nucleotides in length. Lineage: Bacteria; Pseudomonadati; Bacteroidota; Bacteroidia; Bacteroidales; Prevotellaceae. The record is from RNAcentral.
GGUACCUUGUCCGAACGGUUAGGUAACGGUCUGCAAAACCGUUCAAAGCGGUUCGACUCCGCUAGGUACCUCUA